GUUUAAUGCUGUGUGAGACUGCAUGUGUUUGUUCAUGGCACUGUGCUUAUGUUUAAGCUGUACAUGUCAGCUUGAGUAUGAGAUGAUUUUGUAUGUCUCUUGUUACAUUUGUGUAGGUGACUCUGUGUUUGUAAUGUAUUAAAACCCAGUAGCUGGGUUUAACCUCAUUACUCUUGAUUUUGAUGAUACCUAAGAGACACUAAAGGAACACUAAGUAUUAGUUGGUUAUUUAUUUAUUUAUACAUUUCUAGUAAAAUUUAUGGGAAAGUCUUACAUUCC
Non-coding RNA from Pelobates cultripes (western spadefoot toad), 279 nucleotides. The record is from the annotation of a GenBank genome assembly. NCBI's taxonomy places the organism in Eukaryota, Metazoa, Chordata, Amphibia, Anura, Pelobatidae.